CCUUGCGUGCUAGUCAAAAUUAAUUAAGUGUGAUUCAAUUAAGAUAAUACAUAAUUAGUGCAAAUCUAAUCCCAAUUAAGUGUGGUGUGCUGGAAGUAUUUUAGUGUGUAUGUGUGCAUGUCAUUGUUGUGCUGGAGCUCAAAGAAGAUGUGCAAGUGUGUGCACACACAUGGGACAUUAUUAAGAAGUGAGGUGUGUGUUAUAUAUGCGAGUCAAGAAGAAGAGAGGGUUGCUAAAAAAAAUAAAAAAGAAAAAGGGGGAGCUCAUUCUUCAGUCCUUCAUUUAUGCUGGAAAAAGUUUAGAAAGAGAGUGGAUUUGAGAGCUCAAGAGUGUAGAGAGAGAAACCCACAUUGUGUUGGGAAUUGAAGGAAGAACAAGAGGAAUUGGAGAGAAAUCACUUCUACUUUAUGAAUUAAAACUUAAGAGUAACAGGUGUAUGAGCAUUGAUCGAGUUGGUGGAUUAAUAAGGACAAGCAAGACGGCUCAUGGAAAGAUUUGGGAUAAGUUUGAGGCAUGAGAAAAAAACGCAUAAAGUGUGUCACCUCUCAAAAUUUAAAGGAGAUAAAUUGUCCCUGGUUCACAUGGAUUGCAUGGAACUAUUCGACAUUGUGAAGUGCAUCAAGUGUAUCGGUUUAAUCAGUCGAAUGGUUUAUUUUAUCGGGUAUUUUGUAUAUAUCAUUUAAAAAAUGAUAAUUAAGUUGAUCCGAUAA
Molecule: non-coding RNA, 710 nt
Organism: Camellia sinensis
Lineage: Eukaryota; Viridiplantae; Streptophyta; Magnoliopsida; Ericales; Theaceae
Source: RefSeq, a predicted model, not a curated record